ACUUUUUAUUUUAUUUUUUAAUUAUUUUUU
This 30-nucleotide small RNA is filed under the name Arabidopsis thaliana (thale cress). RNAcentral describes it as "ATSL024340". Lineage: Eukaryota; Viridiplantae; Streptophyta; Magnoliopsida; Brassicales; Brassicaceae. The record is from RNAcentral.